This 963-nucleotide ribosomal RNA is filed under the name uncultured bacterium. Its description in RNAcentral is "bacterial SSU rRNA". It matches the Rfam family "Bacterial small subunit ribosomal RNA", at positions 522 to 1472 of the family's 1533-position model. The record is from RNAcentral.
AAUACGAGGGGUGCUAGCGUUGUCCGGAAUAACUGGGCGUAAAGGGUCCGUAGGCGUUUUACCAAGUUGAUUGUUAAAUCCACCGGCUUAACCGGUGACCUGCAAUCAAAACUGGUAGAAUAGAAUAUGUGAGAGGAAUGUGGAAUUCCUGGUGUAGCGGUGACAUGCGUAGAUAUCAGGAGGAACACCGAUGGCGAAGGCAGCAUUCUGGCACAAUAUUGACGCUGAGGGACGAAAGCGUGGGGAGCGMACAGGAUUAGGUACCCUGGUAGUCCACGCCGUAAACGAUGAGUACUUGAUGGUGGAGGAUUCGACCCUUUCACUAUCGGAGCUAACGCGUUAAGUACUCCGCCUGGGGACUACGGCCGCAAGGCUGAAACUCAAAGGAAUGGACGGGGACCCGCACAAGCGGUGGAACAUGUGGUUUAAUUCGAUGCAACGCGAAGAACCUUACCUGGACUUGACAUGUUAGUGAAAUCUCUGUGAAAGCAGAGCCUUCUGCGAGCUUGCUCAAAGACACUAUCACAGGUGAUGCAUGGCUGUCGUCAGCUCGUGUCGUGAGAUGUUGGGUUAAGUCCCGCAACGAGCGCAACCCCUGUUCUUAGUUGCCAGCACAUAAUGGUGGGGACUCUAAGAAGACUGCCUGGGAUAACCAGGAGGAAGGUGGGGAUGAUGUCAAGUCAGUAUGUCCCUUAUGUCCAGGGCUACACACGUGUUACAAUGGCUAGUACAAUGGGUCGCAAUCCCGCGAGGGCAAGCUAAUCCCAAAAAACUAGCCCCAGUUCAGAUUGGAGUCUGCAACUCGACUCCAUGAAGCAGGAAUCGCUAGUAAUCGCGCAUCAGCACGGCGCGGUGAAUACGUUCCCGGGUCUUGUACACACCGCCCGUCAAGCCAUGGAAGUCGGCAGUACCCGAAGCCGGUGGCCCAACCUUUUGGAGGGAGCCGUCUAAGGUAAGGCUGGU